RNAcentral lists this ribosomal RNA (356 nucleotides) under uncultured soil bacterium. RNAcentral describes it as "bacterial SSU rRNA". It matches the Rfam family "Bacterial small subunit ribosomal RNA", at positions 26 to 383 of the family's 1533-position model. The record is from RNAcentral.
AGAUUGAACGCUGGCGGCAGGCCUAACACAUGCAAGUCGAGCGGUAGAGAGGUGCUUGCAUCUCUUGAGAGCGGCGGACGGGUGAGUAAUGCCUAGGAAUCUGCCUAGUGGUGGGGGAUAACGUUCGGAAACGGACGCUAAUACCGCAUACGUCCUACGGGAGAAAGCGGGGGACCUUCGGGCCUCGCGCCAUUAGAUGAGCCUAGGUCGGAUUAGCUAGUUGGUGAGGUAAUGGCUCACCAAGGCGACGAUCCGUAACUGGUCUGAGAGGAUGAUCAGUCACACUGGAACUGAGACACGGUCCAGACUCCUACGGGAGCAGCAGUGGGGAAUAUUGGACAAGUGGGACGAAAGCC